RNAcentral lists this ribosomal RNA (468 nucleotides) under uncultured bacterium. RNAcentral's name for it is "partial 16S ribosomal RNA". It matches the Rfam family "Bacterial small subunit ribosomal RNA", at positions 28 to 507 of the family's 1533-position model. The record is from RNAcentral.
GACGAACGCUGGCGGCGUGCUUAACACAUGCAAGUCGAACGGAAAGGCCCUGCUUUUGUGGGGUGCUCGAGUGGCGAACGGGUGAGUAACACGUGAGUAACCUGCCCUUGACUUUGGGAUAACUUCAGGAAACUGGGGCUAAUACCGGAUAGGAGCUCCUGCUGCAUGGUGGGGGUUGGAAAGUUUCGGCGGUUGGGGAUGGACUCGCGGCUUAUCAGCUUGUUGGUGGGGUAGUGGCUUACCAAGGCUUCGACGGGUAGCCGGCCUGAGAGGGUGACCGGCCACAUUGGGACUGAGAUACGGCCCAGACUCCUACGGGAGGCAGCAGUGGGGAAUAUUGCACAAUGGGCGGAAGCCUGAUGCAGCAACGCCGCGUGCGGGAUGACGGCCUUCGGGUUGUAAACCGCUUUCGCCUGUGACGAAGCGUGAGUGACGGUAAUGGGUAAAGAAGCACCGGCUAACUACGUG